UACUAAUGCAACUGCGAAUAGCUGUUUAAUACAGUCGUAAUUGUAUUGACUUAGUAUAAUGUUAAUAAUAGUUAUUUAUAGGAUAACUAAGGGAAAGUUUGGCUAAUACGUUUUAACAGUAUUAUAAUUCUUAAUACACAUAUAAUAAUAUUAUAAUAUGAUAAAUAUUAUAUAAAUAUUUUAAUACAUUUAUUUGUAUUAAUAUAUAGAGUUGACUUUAUAAUAUUUAUUUAUUAUAAAGCAUGUCAAACAAGCAUCUAUAGCAUCAAGUCACAAUGUUGGCAUGUGUAUUAUUGAACCUUCAAAGCAUUUACGCAUUCGGAGGAGUAGUUUCUGAUCCCGUCGAAGGUGCCUGAGAGACGGCACUUAGUUCUAAGGAACGCAGCAGGCGCGUAAAUUGCCCAAUGACAAAACAUGUUAUAAUAAAAUAUAUAAUGUAUAUAUAUUGAAUACUCAAUAUUUAAUUGAGGCAGUGACAAGCUGUAAAGAUUGAAUAUAUUAAUUAAGAUAACAUUUGGAAUUGUCGUUUUAUAAUAUUUUUUAAUAUUAUAUUACUUGAUAAUAUACCAAUGUUAUAAAAUAUUCAAUUUGAAUGCGGUGAAUGUAAUAAUUUCAAGUAACAUGUAUAAAAUAUUUAUAUUUUAUUAGUUAUCUGAAUUUUCAAGUGGAGGGCAAGUCUGGUGCCAGCAGCCGCGGUAAUACCAGCUCCACUAGCUUAUACAAUCAUUGUUGCGGUUAAGAGGCUCGUAGUUGGAUUGAAUAAAACAUAUAUACACAAUACUGUGAACAAACCAGAGUGUAUAAAACAUGUAAUAUAUUAUAUAUUUAGCAAUGAAUGUUUUAUCAUGGAAUAUUGCUAUAAUGAAUAUUAAUAUCGAUGGAGAUAGUUGGAGUUAAGAGUACUGAUAGGCGAGCGGUGAAAUGCAUUGACCCUAUUAAGACUAACAAAAGCGAAAGCACUUAACUAGAUUAUUCUCUUUGUAUUAUUUUACAAUGAAGAGCGAAGGUUGGGGGAACAAAGAGGAUCAGAUACCCUCGUAGUCCUAUUUUUACAUCAAACUAUGGGAUUUCAUUCACACUAAACACUAAACAUUAUAAUUAUAAUUAUGAUUGAGUAUAUGUCAAAAUAUUACUCUCAUAUUAAAUAAUUAUUAUAUAUAUGAUUAUAUGUACUUUGAGCUCAUAUAAUUAUAUAGGUGAGAUGUAAGCAUUAUAAAGUGAAUAAUAUACAAGUAAUAUUGUAUUAUUAUGAUCUUUAAAAUAAAAAAUGUAAUGUGAUGCACGUUUUAGGUACGAGCUUACUAUAGAAAUAUUUAAAAUAAUACCCUCCUGGGGUAGUAUGCACGCNNNNNNNNNNCUUGAAGGAAUUGACGGAAGGGCACCACAAGAACGCGUGGAGCAUGUGGCUUAAUUUGACUCAACCCGGGAAAUCUUACCAGGUCCAGACAUAUUGAGGAUUGACAGGCGAUAGUAUAUAAUUCAUUUAUAUGCAUAAAAAUGAUAGUCCUUUCAUGAUUAUAUGAUAGGUGGUGCAUGGCCGUUCUUAGUUCGUGGAGUGAUUUGUCUGCUUAAUUGCGUUUCAGUAAAUAAAAUAUAUAAUAUAUUAUAAUAUUUAGUUCUGCCUUGAAUAUUAUUCAAGGAUUUAAAGUGAACAUAUUAUAUAUAUUAUUAUAUAAUAAAUGAAUGC
Molecule: ribosomal RNA, 1687 nt
Filed under: Marginopora vertebralis
Lineage: Eukaryota; Foraminifera; Miliolida; Soritidae
Description: SSU rRNA
Rfam family: Eukaryotic small subunit ribosomal RNA
Source: RNAcentral